This 292-nucleotide ribosomal RNA is filed under the name uncultured bacterium. RNAcentral's name for it is "partial 16S ribosomal RNA". It matches the Rfam family "Bacterial small subunit ribosomal RNA", at positions 505 to 796 of the family's 1533-position model. The record is from RNAcentral.
GUGUCAGCAGCCGCGGUAAUACGAAGGACCCGAGCGUUAUCCGGAUUUAUUGGGUUUAAAGGGUGCGUAGGCGGAUUUGCAAGUCAGUGGUGAAAUCCUGCAGCUUAACUGCAGAACUGUCAUUGAAACUGCAUAUCUUGAGUACAUUUGAAGUGGGCGGAAUGUGUCAUGUAGCGGUGAAAUGCUUAGAUAUGACACAGAACACCGAUUGCGAAGGCAGCUCACUAAACUGUCACUGACGCUGAGGCACGAAAGCGUGGGGAUCAAACAGGAUUAGAUACCCGGGUAGUCC